Molecule: ribosomal RNA, 268 nt
Filed under: uncultured bacterium
Lineage: Bacteria
Description: partial 16S ribosomal RNA
Rfam family: Bacterial small subunit ribosomal RNA
Source: RNAcentral
AUGGCGACCGGCGCACGGGUGCGUAACGCGUAUGCAACCUACCUGUAACAGGGGGAUAACACUGAGAAAUCGGUACUAAUACCGCAUAACACUAUGAGAGGCAUCUCUUGUGGUUGAAAGUUUCGGCGGUUACAGAUGGGCACGCGUUGUAUUAGCUGGUUGGUAAGGUAACGGCUUACCAAGGCGACGAUACAUACGGGGGACUGAGAGGUUAAACCCCCCCACAUUGGUACUGAGACACGGACCAAACUCCUACGGAAGGCAGCAG